GUGGAUUAGAUACCCCGGUAGUCCUAGCCGUAAACGAUGGGCACUAGGUGUUGGAGGUAUCGACCCCUCCAGUGCCGCAGCUAACGCAUUAAGUGCCCCGCCUGGGGAGUACGGUCGCAAGACUAAAACUCAAAGGAAUUGACGGGGGCCCGCACAAGCGGUGGAGCAUGUGGUUUAAUUCGACGCAACGCGAAGAACCUUACCUGGGCUUGACAUCCCCUGAAGGUGCUGGAAACAGUACCGUCCUUUACGGGACAGGGUGACAGGUGCUGCACGGCCGUCGACAGCU
Molecule: ribosomal RNA, 289 nt
Filed under: uncultured bacterium
Lineage: Bacteria
Description: partial 16S ribosomal RNA
Rfam family: Bacterial small subunit ribosomal RNA
Source: RNAcentral